CCUACGGGAGGCAGCAGUGAGGAAUAUUGGUCAAUGGACGAGAGUCUGAACCAGCCAAGUAGCGUGAAGGAUGACUGCCCUAUAGGUUGUAAACUUCUUUUAUAUGGGAAUAAAAUGUUCCACGUGUGGGAUUUUGUAUGUACCAUAUGAAUAAGGAUCGGCUAACUCCGUGCCAGCAGCCGCGGUAAUACGGAGGAUCCGAGCGUUAUCCGGUUUUAUUGGGUUUAAAGGGAGCGUAGGUGGAUUGUUAAGUCAGUUGUGAAAGUUUGCGGCUCAACCGUAAAAUUGCAGUUGAAACUGGCAGUCUUGAGUACAGUAGAGGUAGGCGGAAUGCGUGGUGUAGCGGUGAAAUGCUUAGAUAUCACGCAGAACUCCGAUUGCGAAGGCAGUUCACUGGACUGCAACUGACACUGAGGCUCGAAAGUGUGGGUAUCAAACAGGAUUAGAUACCCCGGUAGUC
Molecule: ribosomal RNA, 460 nt
Filed under: uncultured bacterium
Lineage: Bacteria
Description: partial 16S ribosomal RNA
Rfam family: Bacterial small subunit ribosomal RNA
Source: RNAcentral